CGGGGAGCACACAACAGGUGGAGCCUGCGGUUUAAUCGGACUCAACGCCGGGAAACUCACCAGAUAAGACAGCUGAAUGAUAGUCGGGCUGAAGACUCUACUUGACUAGCUGAGAGGAGGUGCAUGGCCGUCGUCAGUUCGUACUGUGAAGCAUCCUGUUAAGUCAGGCAACGAGCGAGACCCACGCCAACAGUUGCCAGCUCGUCCUCCGGGAUGGUGGGGACACUGUUGGGACCGCCUCUGCUAAAGAGGAGGAAGGAAUGGGCAACGGUAGGUCAGCAUGCCCCGAAUUAUCUGGGCUACACGCGGGCUACAAUGGGUGGGACAAUGGGUAUCGACACCGAAAGGUGAAGGCAAUCUCCUAAACCCAUCCGUAGUUCGGAUUGUGGGCUGCAACUCGCCCACAUGAAGCUGGAAUCUGUAGUAAUCGUGUCUCAAAAUGGCACGGUGAAUAUGUCCCUGCUCCUU
This 468-nucleotide ribosomal RNA is filed under the name uncultured Methanomicrobiales archaeon. RNAcentral's name for it is "bacterial SSU rRNA". It matches the Rfam family "Archaeal small subunit ribosomal RNA", at positions 871 to 1337 of the family's 1478-position model. Lineage: Archaea; Methanobacteriati; Methanobacteriota; Methanomicrobia; Methanomicrobiales. The record is from RNAcentral.